Molecule: transfer RNA, 107 nt
Filed under: Thermofilum pendens Hrk 5
Lineage: Archaea; Thermoproteati; Thermoproteota; Thermoprotei; Thermofilales; Thermofilaceae
Rfam family: tRNA
About the family: Transfer RNA (tRNA) molecules are approximately 80 nucleotides in length. Their secondary structure includes four short double-helical elements and three loops (D, anti-codon, and T loops). Further hydrogen bonds mediate the characteristic L-shaped molecular structure. tRNAs have two regions of fundamental functional importance: the anti-codon, which is responsible for specific mRNA codon recognition, and the 3' end, to which the tRNAs corresponding amino acid is attached (by aminoacyl-tRNA synthetases). tRNAs cope with the degeneracy of the genetic code in two manners: having more than one tRNA (with a specific anti-codon) for a particular amino acid; and 'wobble' base-pairing, i.e. permitting non-standard base-pairing at the 3rd anti-codon position.
Source: Rfam by way of RNAcentral
GCCGGGGUGGCCGAGCGGCCCAAGGCGGCGGAUUCGCGCGAAAGCGCGGACGCAGUGCUAAUCCGUUACCCGUUGAGGGUGCCCGGGUUCGAAUCCCGGCCCCGGCG